Dermacentor albipictus is the source of this 3152-nucleotide non-coding RNA. The record is from RefSeq and is a predicted model, not a curated record. NCBI's taxonomy places the organism in Eukaryota, Metazoa, Arthropoda, Arachnida, Ixodida, Ixodidae.
GUUGGUGUAAUAAACUAAUAACUGCGGUUUAACUGCAACUUUUACAUGCCUUCAAGAAUCUAAAAUGCUAGAUUUCAAACUGCAGCAGUAGUCGGCUCUGUCAAAAAUGAACUCCAUUGCGCACCUCGUACAUGAAAAUAAGUUCACGCCUUUUAGUAAGCUUAGAUGCAGGCCGCAGUGAACUUUCUUGUUAGUAUUGAAAUGUGGGUAAGCUUGCCAUAACAAGCCUUGUUGCCCUUUUUUAUAGGCACAUCCAUAUAUCCAUUGAACUGAAAAACAAUAUUUUCAUCCCUACUGAGCAUCAUGUUUGCAGCUAUAAUCCUCAAAUUAUGGCUUCAGCAGUGGCACAACCAGGGAUGGUGCGGGGGGCACACUGGGCACGUGCUUAGGAUGUGUCACAAGUAGUGUUUGUGAUACACCAGACUCAUGACAGACCUAUGAUGUCUGAAAAUGACCAAUAUUCUAUUCAUUAGCAGGAGUAUUCUAACAUUCGUGCUGAACGAGGAUGAACUGUCCGUUAUUUCUUUUUUGUGUAAAUCUAAAAUUGAAGUUAAUUUAGCAGUUGACUGUUGCAGUCAUUUGGAUGUUUUGCAUGCAUUUCACUAAGAAGACUAAGAGCUAAGACUUUCUUUUAUUGCCAUGGCCUUGACUGUCUUGAUGUUGUUUUGCACCAUGCCCUUGUGUUGACUUUUGCAUACGAUAUUUUUCAGGCACCCGCUUUAUAGAACACAAGAAGGCAGCUGCAAGGACACGAGGAUGUGAAAGAGCCAGUGCAGCGUGACUUCACGUAGUGCAGAGGAGCCAAUGCCAAAAAAUCUAAAUACAUUGGCAUGCAAUUUGGACAAGAAAACUAGUAUGGACAACCCAGGACGUGCAUUUCUCAGCACCCCGUCAACUGCCAGAAGUGACUCGAACACAGGCCACCAGUGGCACUCGGCUGUACCACUGCAGUGCUGCGGAAAUUGCCAACACCAGCGGCUUUGCAACAGCUGUUUCACAGCAUGUCGGAGACAAUGCCUACGAAAUUAUUGGCCCUGAUGACGAGAGCCCUCAAGGGGCAAACGACAUCUCUGUUGCAGAAGUGAGCCCGAUACCACCUGAAGUUACCAUGACAGGUGGCACGGCAGCAAUAGAUACAGAGACGGCCAUGUCUACUGCAGCUGCAACAGUGUACGAGGCAAGCAGCAGUGUGUCAGCAUCAGCAGCAGUGUCAGAAGGAACCGCACCAGGCCUGGUAGAGCAACGUGUGUUAUCACUGUGACUUUUUUGUAGUGCAUACAACUCAUUUGCUCAACAUACAAAAGCUUUUCACCACGACUGUGAGCCAGUGUUCUUGUGCAGCAAGUGCAAGACUAAGUUAAGUGUUAUAACACAGUACAAGCAUCACUUUAAGAUAUGCAAACAUAUUACAGUUGCCUCCCCAGCCAGCUCACAUAGCGACAACAAUGUGGAACACAUGGUGGGACACACCUCUUCCCCAUUAGAAGAUGGUAGAGACUGUCAGUGUUGUUGCUAGAUUAACUGGUCUUUGUAGGCAACUAGAAGGACAACACAGGUGUCAUAAGAUUGUUGUUUAUGUUGUUGUUCAAGAGGUAAAAUAGAAGUUUGAUGCAGCUGAAGUGCCAACUGAUAUUGAGCAAAUCAAAAAGAACCACCUGAGAAAGCAACACUAUCGAAAUUUGGGUAUCUAUGUGCCGCCAACUCUGGUAAGGAUGGCAUAGGACAGAAGUGUGAUGAAAAUCACACAGACACUGCUGUUCCAGCACUGGUCACAGUGAGCAGUGACUUGUAGGGCAAGAGAGUCAACUGAAACGAACAUUAUGGCAUAGCGUCAUGCUCCCAUGUGACCACUUUCCAUGUUAUUUUGCAUGAUACAGCUCAACCUUCAGAAACGAGACUGCAACUUGUCUGUAAAAAGCUUUCACAAAAAAUUAUUCAUAACACUAUUAACACAGCAGUAUCUUCUUUUCUUUGUGGGUUCGAGGUUCCCGGGUGUCCAUUAAUGCAAAACAUGUGGAAAAAAAGAACAUGUGUCGUACUUGCACCUUUUUAACAAGUACGAGGGGGACAGAACUUUUCUAGUCAUGCAUCUUCAUCAUACUAUCAAGUUUUUAAAUGCCUUUUAUAAUUAUUAUUACCAGUUAUACCUGAGUGCAUUGUAUGCAUUUAGCAGGCGUAAAAUCAGGUCAGUUGGAUCAGAUGCCUUAUCUGCAAGGGAGCCCUAUAUUCAAGAAAUGUGAAUUAAAAUAGGUACGUUAGAGACGCAGUCUUUCAGCACUUUAUUGCAUGUGGUUUAAGCAUUGCUCAAUACUUUUGUGGAUGGCAGUUUCAACCGGCACAGCACUGCGAUUUGUCACGGUCAUGUGUCUUCAAAGCGGUGUUUACCAUUUGUGUUGAUCUGUUUGUGUGUUCAUAGAGCAAGUUUUUAAUUUAUUUUUUUCCGCAUUCUUGUGCUUGCACUAAGCUUGUAUAAGGCAGUUACAAAAUGGGCGUCACUGUAACGAACUGUGCUGUUGAGCUUACACUUGCAAAUAAUAGUGUUCAGAUGGCCGCACUUCUGUGUAGGUGCACCGAUAGCUUUGUGUAUGUUCUCAUGUUUGUAUAAAGCUUAUAUAAGCUAGUUACAAAAUGUAUGUCACUAAGCAUUGUGAUAUUCUUUAAAGAACUGCUUGGUUGGUUUUACACUUGCAAAUUAGUAUUGAGGAGGUGGUAUUUCCAUGUAGGCCCACUGCUAGCUUUCUGUGUGCUCACGUGUUUGUAUUAAGCUUUUACAAGGGAGUUACAGCAUGUACGUCACUAAGUGCUGUGAUAUUUUUAAAGAACUGCUUUGUUGGUUUUACACCUGUGAGUAAUAGUACUCGGGUGGCACUAGUCAUGUGUAGGUACACAGGGACCAUUUGUAUACAUUAUGCUCAUGUAAAGCAGUUACAAAGUGUAUGUCACUAAUCACUGUGAUAUUUGUUGAAGAAUUGCUGUGAUGGUUUUACACAUGUGAAUAAUAGUGGUCAGGACACAGUACUUGCGAUGUAUAGUUGAAUUUAUACAGUGCCAAGACAUGGGCUGUAUACGUACCAAAAGAAAUGUAUGUCAUUAUAUUGUUGUGAUCAUUACUGUUUGGAUUUUAUUAAACUCUAAUAACGUUUUUUCUUGUA